UUUAUAGCCUCUGGCUAUAGGAAAUUGUUAGUGGCAGACGGGUGAGUAAUGCGUAGGAAUCUACCUAGUAGUACGGAAUAGCCAUUAGAAAUGGUGGGUAAUACUGUAUAAUCCCCGAGGGGGAAAGAUUUAUCGCUAUUAGAUGAGCCUACGUUAGAUUAGCUAGUUGGUGAGGUAAUGGCUUACCAAGGCUAUGAUCUAUAGCUGGUCUGAGAGGACGAUCAGCCACACUGGAACUGAGAUACGGUCCAGACUCCUACGGGAGGCAGCAGUGGGGAAUAUUGGACAAUGGGCGAGAGCCUGAUCCAGCUAUGCCGCGUGAGUGAAGAAGGCCUUCGGGUUGUAAAACUCUUUCAAUAGGGAAGAUAAUGACGGUACCUAUAGAAGAAGUCCCGGCAAACUCUGUGCCAGCAGCCGCGGUAAUACGGAGGGGGCAAGCGUUGUUCGGAAUUAUUGGGCGUAAAGGGCACGUAGGUGGACUAGUAAGUUAAAAGUG
This 496-nucleotide ribosomal RNA is filed under the name Ehrlichia canis. Its description in RNAcentral is "bacterial SSU rRNA". It matches the Rfam family "Bacterial small subunit ribosomal RNA", at positions 70 to 596 of the family's 1533-position model. Lineage: Bacteria; Pseudomonadati; Pseudomonadota; Alphaproteobacteria; Rickettsiales; Anaplasmataceae. The record is from RNAcentral.